This 523-nucleotide ribosomal RNA is filed under the name uncultured bacterium. RNAcentral's name for it is "partial 16S ribosomal RNA". It matches the Rfam family "Bacterial small subunit ribosomal RNA", at positions 28 to 523 of the family's 1533-position model. The record is from RNAcentral.
GACGAACGCUGGCGGCGUGCCUAAUACAUGCAAGUCGAACGCUUUUUCUUUCACCGGAGCUUGCUCCACCGAAAGAAAAAGAGUGGCGAACGGGUGAGUAACACGUGGGUAACCUGCCCAUCAGAAGGGGAUAACACUUGGAAACAGGUGCUAAUACCGUAUAACACUAUUUUCCGCAUGGAAGAAAGUUGAAAGGCGCUUUUGCGUCACUGAUGGAUGGACCCGCGGUGCAUUAGCUAGUUGGUGAGGUAACGGCUCACCAAGGCAACGAUGAAUAGCAGGCCUGAGAGGGGGAUCGGCCACACUGGGACUGAGACACGGCCCAGACUCAUACGGGAGGCAGCAGUAGGGAAUCUUCGGCAAUGGACGAAAGACUGACCGAGCAACGCCGCGUGAGUGAAGAAGGUUUUCGGAUCGCAAAACUCUGUUGUUAGAGAAGAACAAGGAUGAGAGUAGAACGUUCAUCCCUUGACGGUAUCUAACCAGAAAGCCACGGCUAACUACGUGCCAGCCGCCGCGGUAA